GUUAGCUCAGUCGGUAGAGCAGUUGGCUUUUAACCAAUUGGUCGUAGGUUCGAAUCCUACACGACCCACCA
This 71-nucleotide transfer RNA is filed under the name Pseudomonas aeruginosa. Its description in RNAcentral is "tRNA-Lys". It matches the Rfam family "tRNA". Rfam says of the family: Transfer RNA (tRNA) molecules are approximately 80 nucleotides in length. The record is from RNAcentral. Lineage: Bacteria; Pseudomonadati; Pseudomonadota; Gammaproteobacteria; Pseudomonadales; Pseudomonadaceae.